RNAcentral lists this ribosomal RNA (765 nucleotides) under uncultured Mycobacterium sp. RNAcentral's name for it is "bacterial SSU rRNA". It matches the Rfam family "Bacterial small subunit ribosomal RNA", at positions 578 to 1341 of the family's 1533-position model. The record is from RNAcentral. Lineage: Bacteria; Bacillati; Actinomycetota; Actinomycetes; Mycobacteriales; Mycobacteriaceae.
GUUUGUCGCGUUGUUCGUGAAAUCUCACGGCUUAACUGUGAGCGUGCGGGCGAUACGGGCAGACUUGAGUACUGCAGGGGAGACUGGAAUUCCUGGUGUAGCGGUGGAAUGCGCAGAUAUCAGGAGGAACACCGGUGGCGAAGGCGGGUCUCUGGGCAGUAACUGACGCUGAGGAGCGAAAGCGUGGGGAGCGAACAGGAUUAGAUACCCUGGUAGUCCACGCCGUAAACGGUGGGUACUAGGUGUGGGUUUCCUUCCUUGGGAUCCGUGCCGUAGCUAACGCAUUAAGUACCCCGCCUGGGGAGUACGGCCGCAAGGCUAAAACUCAAAGAAAUUGACGGGGGCCCGCACAAGCGGCGGAGCAUGUGGAUUAAUUCGAUGCAACGCGAAGAACCUUACCUGGGUUUGACAUGCACAGGACGCCGGCAGAGAUGUCGGUUCCCUUGUGGCCUGUGUGCAGGUGGUGCAUGGCUGUCGUCAGCUCGUGUCGUGAGAUGUUGGGUUAAGUCCCGCAACGAGCGCAACCCUUGUCUCAUGUUGCCAGCGGGUAAUGCCGGGGACUCGUGAGAGACUGCCGGGGUCAACUCGGAGGAAGGUGGGGAUGACGUCAAGUCAUCAUGCCCCUUAUGUCCAGGGCUUCACACAUGCUACAAUGGCCGGUACAAAGGGCUGCGAUGCCGCGAGGUUAAGCGAAUCCUUUUAAAGCCGGUCUCAGUUCGGAUCGGGGUCUGCAACUCGACCCCGUGAAGUCGGAGUCGCUAGUAA